GACGAACGCUGGCGGCGUGCUUAACACAUGCAAGUCGAGCGGUAAGGCCCUUUCGGGGGUACACGAGCGGCGAACGGGUGAGUAACACGUGGGUGACCUGCCCUCAGCUCUGGGAUAAGCCUGGGAAACCGGGUCUAAUACUGGAUAUGACUCCAUGACGCAUGUUGUGGGGUGGAAAGCCUUGUGCGGCUGAGGAUGGGCCCGCGGCCUAUCAGCUUGUUGGUGGGGUGANGGCCUACCAAGGUGACGACGGGUAGCCGGCCUGAGAGGGCGACCGGCCACACUGGGACUGAGACACGGCCCAGACUCCUACGGGAGGCAGCAGUGGGGAAUCUUGCGCAAUGGGCGAAAGCCUGACGCAGCGACGCCGCGUGAGGGAUGACGGCCU
Molecule: ribosomal RNA, 388 nt
Filed under: uncultured bacterium
Lineage: Bacteria
Description: bacterial SSU rRNA
Rfam family: Bacterial small subunit ribosomal RNA
Source: RNAcentral